RNAcentral lists this ribosomal RNA (231 nucleotides) under uncultured bacterium. RNAcentral's name for it is "partial 16S ribosomal RNA". It matches the Rfam family "Bacterial small subunit ribosomal RNA", at positions 105 to 334 of the family's 1533-position model. The record is from RNAcentral.
ACGGUGAGUAACACGUAUCCAACCUGCCGUCUACUCUUGGACAGCCUUCUGAAAGGAAGAUUAAUACAAGAUGGCAUCAUGAGUCCACAUGUUCACAUGAUUAAAGGUAUUCCGGUAGACGAUGGGGAUGCGUUCCAUUAGAUAGUAGGCGGGGUAACGGCCCACCUAGUCUUCGAUGGAUAGGGGUUCUGAGAGGAAGGUCCCCCACAUUGGAACUGAGACACGGUCCAA